This 429-nucleotide ribosomal RNA is filed under the name Bacteroidota bacterium. RNAcentral describes it as "Bacteroidetes bacterium partial 16S ribosomal RNA". It matches the Rfam family "Bacterial small subunit ribosomal RNA", at positions 355 to 776 of the family's 1533-position model. Lineage: Bacteria; Pseudomonadati; Bacteroidota. The record is from RNAcentral.
UAGGGAAUCUUCUGCAAUGGACGCAAGUCUGACGGAGCAACGCCGCGUGAGUGAAGAAGGAUUUCGGUUCGUAAAACUCUGUUGUUAGAGAAGAACAGCGCAUAGAGUAACUGUUAUGCGUGUGACGGUAUCUAACCAGAAAGCCACGGCUAACUACGUGCCAGCAGCCGCGGUAAUACGUAGGUGGCAAGCGUUGUCCGGAUUUAUUGGGCGUAAAGCGAGCGCAGGCGGUCAAAUAAGGCUGAUGUGAAAGCCCCCGGCUCAACCGGGGAGGGUCAGUGGAAACUGGUUUACUUGAGUGCAGAAGAGGAGAGUGGAAUUCCAGGUGUAGCGGUGAAAUGCGUAGAUAUGUGGAGGAACACCAGUGGCGAAGGCGACUCUCUGGUCUGUAACUGACGCUGAGGCUCGACAGCGUGGGUAGCAAACAGG